AGAGUUUGAUCCUGGCUCAGGACGAACGCUGGCGGCGUGCCUAAUACAUGCAAGUAGAACGCUGAAGACUUUAGCUUGCUAAAGUUGGAAGAGUUGCGAACGGGUGAGUGACGCGUAGGUAACCUGCCUACUAGCGGGGGAUAACUAUUGGAAACGAUAGCUAAUACCGCAUAACAGCAUUUAACCCAUGUUAGAUGCUUGAAAGGAGCAAUUGCUUCACUAGUAGAUGGACCUGCGUUGUAUUAGCUAGUUGGUGAGGUAACGGCUCACCAAGGCGACGAUACAUAGCCGACCUGAGAGGGUGAUCGGCCACACUGGGACUGAGACACGGCCCAGAUUCCUACGGGAGGCAGCAGUAGGGAAUCUUCGGCAAUGGGGGCAACCCUGACCGAGCAACGCCGCGUGAGUGAAGAAGGUUUUCGGAUCGUAAAGCUCUGUUGUAAGAGAAGAACGUGUGUGAGAGUGGAAAGUUCACACAGUGACGGUAACUUACCAGAAAGGGACGGCUAACUACGUGCCAGCAGCCGCGGUAAUACGUAGGUCCCGAGCGUUGUCCGGAUUUAUUGGGCGUAAAGCGAGCGCAGGCGGUUUAAUAAGUCUGAAGUUAAAGGCAGUGGCUUAACCAUUGUUCGCUUUGGAAACUGUUAGACUUGAGUGCAGAAGGGGAGAGUGGAAUUCCAUGUGUAGCGGUGAAAUGCGUAGAUAUAUGGAGGAACACCGGUGGCGAAAGCGGCUCUCUGGUCUGUAACUGACGCUGAGGCUCGAAAGCGUGGGGAGCAAACAGGAUUAGAUACCCUGGUAGUCCACGCCGUAAACGAUG
Molecule: ribosomal RNA, 820 nt
Filed under: uncultured bacterium
Lineage: Bacteria
Description: bacterial SSU rRNA
Rfam family: Bacterial small subunit ribosomal RNA
Source: RNAcentral